GAUCCUGGCUCAGGAUGAACGCUAGCUACAGGCUUAACACAUGCAAGUCGAGGGGCAGCAUGAACUUAGCUUGCUAAGUUUGAUGGCGACCGGCGCACGGGUGAGUAACACGUAUCCAACCUUCCCGUUACUCUGGAAUAGCCUUUCGAAAGAAAGAUUAAUACCGGAUAGUAUCGAGAGAUUGCAUGAUUACCCGNUUAAAGAUUCAUCGGUAACGGAUGGGAUGCUUCCAUUAGG
This 237-nucleotide ribosomal RNA is filed under the name uncultured bacterium. Its description in RNAcentral is "partial 16S ribosomal RNA". It matches the Rfam family "Bacterial small subunit ribosomal RNA", at positions 15 to 245 of the family's 1533-position model. The record is from RNAcentral.